CCGCCACAGGAGUCACUAGUGCGCGAUGAGACAAGGACAUCCCUACUGGCCAAACCCUCCCUAACACGGACGAUGCUGGGCCAAUUGUGUGCCGGUCCAUGGGUCUCCCAGUUGCAGCCGGCUGCGACAGAGCCUGGACUCAAACCCAGAAUCUCUAGUGGCACUGCGCCACCCAGGAGGCUGAAAAGGGAUUUUUAAUGACUCCAACCUAAGUGUGUGUAAACCUCUGACUUCAAAUGUAGGUGUACAGGUGCCCAUUAUUAGCAACCAUCACUCCUGUGUUCCAAUGGAACGUUGUGUUAGCUAAUCCAAGUUGAUCAUUUUAAAAGGAUAAUUGAUCAUUAGAAAACCCUUUUGCAAUUAUGUUAGCACAGCUGCUAACUGGCCUUCUUUAGACUAGUUGAGCAUCAGCAUUUAUGGGUUCAAUUACAGGGUCAAAAUAGCCAGAAACAAAGUCCUUUCUUCUAGAACUCCUCAGGCUAUUCCAUGCGAGAAAUUGGCAAGAAACGUACAAUGCUGUGUACUACUCCCUUCACAGAACAGCGCAAACUGGCCCUAACCACAGUAGAAGUAGUGGGAGGCCCUGGUGCACAACUGAGCAAGAGGACAAAGUACGUUAGUGUCUAGUUUGAGAACAGACACCUCACAAGUCCUCAACUGGCAGCUUCAUUAACCUCCAGGCUGUGUAAGGGCUAUUUGACCAAGAAGGAGAGUGAUGGAGUGCUGCAUCAGAUGACCUGGCCUCCACAAUCACCCGACCUCAACCCAAUUGAGAUGGUUUGGGAUGAGUUGGACCGCAGAGUGAAGGAAAAGCAGCCAACAAGUGCUCCACAUAUGUGGGAACUCCUUCAAGACUGUUGGAAAAGCAUUCCAGGUGAAGCUGGUUGAGAGAAUGCCAUGAGUGUGCAAAGACGUCAAAGGCAAAGUGUGACUACUUCGAAGGAUCUAAAAUAUAUUUUGAUUUGUUUAACACUUUUUUUGGUUACAUGAUUCCAUGUCUUAUUUUAUAGUUUUGAAGUCUUCACUAUUAUUCCUAAAUGUAGAAAAUAGUAAAAAAUAAAGAAAAACCCUUGAAUGAGUAGGUGUGUCUAAACUUUUGACUGGUACUGUAUAUACACACAUUCACACACAGUGUAUGGAGGUGUAUGCUCAAUACAAAAUUAUAACUCACCUCUGUGCCUCAACAUUGGAAGAGAAUUACUUAAAGAAUUAAUGUAAUAGUUAGUCUGACUGCUACCCAUUGAAAUUAUAAAUAUUCUAUUCUACAAUAAAAUAAGACUCCAAGCUGACACAAUCCGUUAUUUAGCAUUUUUUCCUAUUGGGUUGAAAAUAAUCUGAAACACAACCAAAACAAACAGGAAAUGCAUCCAACAAAUUAGUAGUCACAAGUUUGAUGUAGUUUGUGUGCUAUGACUAUGGGACAAAAUACUUAACUUUAACUACUUUAAUACAAAUAAUUUAAUUUGUCCCAUAAAAUGUGAGGACUAGGUACACAAAGUGCUAUAUAUUUCAAAAUGGUUCACCCUAUAUGGAUGAAAAUACCCCGAAAUUAAAGCUGAUAGUCUGCACUUUAACCUCAGUCAUUGUAGCAUUUCAAAUCCAGAGUCCCCCCAAAAAACAAAAAUCCCAAUACUUUGAGCUAACUGUAUCUGUAUUGUUGUCCAUUUGUUUACUCCAAUUAUAUAUAUGUUUUUAUUAACCCUACAGGCCCCAGAAUCAGCAGUGACUGGCCGGUGAUGGGCAUGCCCCCACAGAUCAGCGGGGAGAAAAAAAAAGAUUGUCGACUGGAAACUGUUUUAGUACCACAGACUCCACAGGAAGACACUCAAACCAUAGGGUGCCGUCAAAACCCGCAACACCGGCCACAGAUGAGACGGACAGACUCACAGCUCCACUGUUAAGCAGAGAGGGGGAGCCUCUCUCUUCAAACUGAGAACUCACAGAACGCCACUACACCUCCAAAUGACACCACCAGACAAUUAAUACAGGAAUCAAGGACCUGUAAAAUUGUUCUAUAACUGUCCAAAACGAACAGAACAUGUCAAACUGAGGAAUGCUACUAGCUAAGGAAAGGAAUUACGUUUUUAUACUGUAUGCUACAGAACUCUCAAAUCACUCCUUGUCCAGUCUCCAUCCUGCCCCUGUUCUUCCUUCCUCAGUCUUUUCACAAUGUUUCUGUUGUCUUAUUUAUAUGCUGAUCUCAAAUAGAUCAAACUGUUAUUUUUAAUGACUGUGCAUAUUCUUCUGCUUGCAUUCUAGAGGCUGCAAGAGAUCUUUACAGAUGUAAAUAAACUAUGUUAACUUGUGACUUGGACUUGUGCUUUCACUGCAGGUACACACAUCCUUUCGAAAAUCUAUGCAGAACUGCAGAACCUGGCAGGGUUUUCAUGAAAAAGGGUGACAGAGGGUAACUUACACUAAAGAAAAUAAUUAACGUUUCUGGUCUGUGAAUUUACCACUGGGUUAAUUCAAGUUAACAGAUCAGUAGUAUUCCAAGCAGGCAAUAUUUGGCACAGAACGUCUUAAUGACAUAAUUUGUUUGUAAACCAUUUCUGGGAUAUGAUAUAACCAGAUUACAA
Oncorhynchus tshawytscha (Chinook salmon) is the source of this 2579-nucleotide long non-coding RNA. NCBI's taxonomy places the organism in Eukaryota, Metazoa, Chordata, Actinopteri, Salmoniformes, Salmonidae. The record is from Ensembl.